Molecule: ribosomal RNA, 2953 nt
Organism: Hydrogenivirga sp. 128-5-R1-1
Lineage: Bacteria; Pseudomonadati; Aquificota; Aquificia; Aquificales; Aquificaceae
Rfam family: Bacterial large subunit ribosomal RNA
Source: Rfam
AUGCAAGUUAGUAAAGGCUCGGGGUGGAUGCCUCGGCAGCCGGAGGCGAUGAAGGGCGUGCUAAGCUGCGAUAAGCCGGGUGGAGGCGCAAAGAGCCUUUGAGGCCCGGAUGCCCGAAUGGGGAAACCCGGCAGGCGAUAAGCCUGUCAUCCCGCUUAUGCGGGAGGCCACACUCCGCGAAGCAAAACCUUUUAGUAGCGGAAGGAAAGGAAAUCAAUUGAGACGCCCUUAGUAGCGGCGAGCGAACGGGGCAUAGCCCAAACCCUGUGGGUGCCAUGGCGGCGGCCUUAGCCCACAGGGGGUAGUGGGACACGUCCGGAGGAAUCCGCCGGUUCCUCGGGGAGUUACAAAACUCCCACCUAACCGAAGUCCGCUGGAAUGCGGUGCCGUAGAGGGUGAAAGCCCCGUAGGUUAAAGGUGUGGAGUCUCCCUGGGGCGUGUUCCCGAGUACCACGGCCCACGUGGAAGGUUGUGGGAAUCUGGGGGGACCACCCUCCAAGGCUAAGUACUACCGGCUGACCGAUAGCGUAUAGUACCGUGAGGGAAAGGUGAAAAGAACCCCGGAAGGGGAGUGAAAUAGAACCUGAAACCCCGGGUCUACAAGCCAGUGGAAGGGUCCUUGUGGCCCGACUGCGUGCCUUUUGCAGAAUGAGCCAGGGAGUUGUCUUCAGGGGCUAGGCUAAGCCGUCAGGCGAAGCCGUAGCGAAAGCGAGUCCGAAUAGGGCGUUUAAGUCCCUGGGGGCAGACGCGAAGCGGGGCGAUCUACCCUUGCCCUGGGUGAAGGCCGGGUAAAACCGGCUGGAGGCCCUAAGGGGUCGGUGCUGCAAAACCGUCCUGUGAGGUGAGGGUAGCGGUGAAAAGCCAAUCGCGCCCCGUGAUAGCUCGUUCUCCCCGAAAUGCAUCGACGUGCAGCGUCGUCCGUUCCUUCCCGGGGGUAGAGCCACUGGUUGGGCUAGGGCCCCGAGAGGGGUACCGAACCCUGCCAAACUCCGAAUACCGGGAAAGGUAGGACGGUAGUGAGUCUCCGGGGGAUAAGCUCCGGUGGACAAGAGGGAAACAACCCAGACCGCCGGCUAAGGUCCCAAAAUCCGGGCUAAGUGGUAAAGGAAGUCCACCUCCUAAGACAGCCGGGAGGUUGGCUUAGAGGCAGCCAUCCUUUAAACAGUGCGUAACAGCUGACCGGUCGAGGGGGUGGGCGCCGAAAAUUUAGCGGGGCUCAAGCCCGGUACCGAAGCCGCGGGUCAGUAUCCACUCCGGUGGGUACUGGCGGUAGGGGAGCGUUCCCUGUGGGCUGAAGCUACGCCGUGAGGCGUGGUGGACUGCAGGGAAGUGAGAAUCCUGGCAUGAGUAGGAGCGAAGGCAGGUGAGAAACCUGCCCGCCGGAAGCCCAAGGUUUCGGUGGCAAUGGAAAUCAGCCAUCGGUUAGCCGGGACCCUAAGGCGAGGCCGAUGAGGCGUAGCCGAUGGGAAGCGGGUCAACAUUCCCGCGCCAGCGAUGUGGAGCCAGAGUCGUGACGCAGGAGGCUAACCCGGGCCCGCUAUGGAAUGCGGGUGUAAGGUAGUAGGGGGGAGGCGUAGGCAAAUCCGCGCCUCCAUAACCCCGAGAGCCGAUGCGGCAACUCGGGUGACGCCACACUGCCAAGAAACAAUGGCGCUGGCUUUGAAGCAUCGCUGCCCGUACCGGAAACCGACACAGGUGGGCUGGGUUAGGAGCCCAAGGCGUCGGGGGAACUCUCCUCAAGGAACUCGGCAAAUUGGCCCCGUACCUUCGGAAGAAGGGGUGCCCAUGGGGGUGUAGUCCCUCGCGGACGAAGCUCCUGUGGGUCGCAGUGACCGGGCGGUGCCGACUGUUUACCAAAAACACAGGACUACGCAAACCCGAAAGGGGAUGUAUGUGGUCUGAAGCCUGGCCAGUGCCCGAAGGUUAAAGCCCCGGGUGAUGAGCUCGGGGUCGAAGCCCGGGUAAACGCCGGCCGUAACUAUGACGGUCCUAAGGUAGCGAAAUUCCUUGUCGGGUAAGUUCCGACCUGCAUGAACGGCCCAACGAGUGCCGCACUGUCUCGAGGAGAGUCCCGCCGAAAUUGUAAUGCCGGUCAAGAUGCCGGCUACCCGCGGCUGGACGGAAAGACCCCGUGAAGCUUCACUGCAGCCUGACAUUGAAUCUUAGCCUGUCCUGCGCAGGAUAGGUGGGAGGCUGGGAAGCCCGCCCUCCGGGGCGGGUGGAGCCGCCGGUGAGAUACCACCCUGGGCAGGCUGAGGUUCUAACCCAGCCAGGUGAACCCCUGGCGGGGACCGUGUCAGGUGGGCAGUUUAGCUGGGGCGGCUGCCUCCUAAAAGGUAGCGGAGGCGCCCAAAGGUACCCUCAGGCGGGUCGGAAAUCCGCCGUAGAGUGCAAGGGCAGAAGGGUGCCUGACUGUGAGACCGACAGGUCGAACAGGGGCGAAAGCCGGGCCUAGUGACCCACCGGCUCCAUGUGGGAGGGCCGGUGAUCAGCGGAUAAAAGCUACUCCGGGGAUAACAGGCUAAUCUCCCCCGAGAGCCCACAUCGACGGGGAGGUUUGGUACCUCGAUGUCGGCUCCCCCCAUCCUGGGGCUGAAGCAGGUCCCAAGGGUUGGGCUGUUCGCCCAUUAAAGGGGGACGCGAGCUGGGUUCAGAACGUCGCGAGACAGUUCGGUCCCUAUCCGCCGCGGGCGCAGGAGCCUUGAGGGGGUCCGUCCCUAGUACGAGAGGACCGGGACGGGGCAGGCUCUAGUGUACCGGUUGUUCCUCCAGGAGCAGCGCCGGGUAGCUAUCCUGCUACGGGAUAAGCGCUGAAAGCAUCUAAGCGCGAAGCCCACCCCAAGAUAAGGGCUCCCUGAAGGGCCCCGGAAGACUACCGGGUUGAUAGGCCGCAGGUGGAAGCUCAGCAAUGGGUGAAGCCGAGCGGUACUAAUCGCCCGUUCGACUUGCAUAC